UACGGAGGGGGUUAGCGUAGUUCGGAAUUACUGGGCGUAAAGCGCACGUAGGCGGACAAUUAAGUCAGGGGUGAAAUCCCGGGGCUCAACCCCGGAACUGCCCUUGAUACUGGUAGUCUUGAGUUCGAGAGAGGUGAAUGGAAUUCCGAGUGUAGAGGUGAAAUUCGUAGAUAUUCGGAGGAACACCAGUGGCGAAGGCGGCUCACUGGCUCUAUACUGACGCUUAGGUGCGAAAGCGUGGGGAGCAAACAGG
This 253-nucleotide unclassified non-coding RNA is filed under the name uncultured Rhodobacterales bacterium. RNAcentral's name for it is "contains 16S-23S intergenic spacer region". It matches the Rfam family "Bacterial small subunit ribosomal RNA", at positions 524 to 776 of the family's 1533-position model. Lineage: Bacteria; Pseudomonadati; Pseudomonadota; Alphaproteobacteria; Rhodobacterales. The record is from RNAcentral.